Molecule: ribosomal RNA, 468 nt
Filed under: uncultured bacterium
Lineage: Bacteria
Description: partial 16S ribosomal RNA
Rfam family: Bacterial small subunit ribosomal RNA
Source: RNAcentral
GACGAACGCUGGCGGCGUGCUUAACACAUGCAAGUCGAACGGAAAGGCCCUGCUUUUGUGGGGUGCUCGAGUGGCGAACGGGUGAGUAACACGUGAGUAACCUGCCCUUGACUUUGGGAUAACUUCAGGAAACUGGGGCUAAUACCGGAUAGGAGCUCCUGCUGCAUGGUGGGGGUUGGAAAGUUUCGGCGGUUGGGGAUGGACUCGCGGCUUAUCAGCUUGUUGGUGGGGUAGUGGCUUACCAAGGCUUUGACGGGUAGCCGGCCUGAGAGGGUGACCGGCGUCAUUGGGACUGAGAGACGGAGCAGAAGGGUACGGGAGGCAGAAGGCGGGAGUAUUGCGGAGUGGGGGGGAGUGUGAGGCGGAGACGCCGGGUGCGGGAUACUGGGUUUCGGGUGGAGAACAGCUUUCGACGGUGCCGAAGCGGGAGUGACGGUAAUGGGUCAAGAAGCACCGGCUAACUACGUG